Long non-coding RNA from Musa acuminata subsp. malaccensis (wild Malaysian banana), 589 nucleotides. RefSeq lists it as uncharacterized. The record is from RefSeq and is a predicted model, not a curated record. Lineage: Eukaryota; Viridiplantae; Streptophyta; Magnoliopsida; Zingiberales; Musaceae.
GCUGAUUUAUCCGUUUUGGCGAAAGGAAAACCCUAAUUUCGUGCAGAAAACCCCUUCAGCUAUUUCCCGAUCGAGCUUUCGUCCAUGCCCGACGCAAGGAUCGAAAUCGGGCAUCAGAAUGAUUAUUUAUUCGACGAAGGAGUUCGAUUCCUGGCUCUCUCGCUCGCUCUCUGUCUUUUUUUUUCCUAAGAUCCCAAUUCGGAGUAACGAGCGGUCGGACUAGAUUGGGAUGAAUCGAACGUUUUCUGGAGGAGUGACCGACGAUUGCAGAGAUGCGUAGGGCGUUGCAAACAGUGCUGUGUGAUCAUGAACAAUAUCAACAACCAUCAGGGACCGAGCCAAGACAUGCCACAGCAAUGUGGCUUGGAGAUGGUCUGAAAACUUCCAUGCGCCUAUCAAAGUCUAUUUGCAGUGUUCGAAGUAUGCCUCUGAUGUUGUGCUGCAAGCAUUAAAGUCCACUCCAUAACCUCUGGUUUGAGUUCAGGAAAGCUGUAAACUGCUUUAAUAGGUGCAUGCAUCUUAGGCGAUCGACUCCACUUUCUUGUGUCCACUUGAUCUUAUAGUGCAGUUUUGUCGCCUUCUUUUCUGC